GGUCGGGUGGCGGGAUUUAAAUUAAAUAAACAGAAAACUAAGGUUUUGGGGAAAAAUUUGACUGAUACAGAGUCAGAACGGUUUCAGAAUGAGACGGAACUUAAUGUGGUUAAAAAGUAAAAUACCUAGGGGUAAACAUAACAGCAAAAAUCUAAGUCUAUUUAAGGAUAACUAUGAAAAAUGUUGGACAGAAAUUAAGAGAGACUUAGACAGUUGGUCAAAAUUGAAACUUUCUUUGUUAGGCCGAAUUGCUGCUAUUAAGAUGAAUGUAUUGCCAAGGAUGUUGUUUUUAUUUCAAACACUUCAGGUUUUGGACAAAACGGAGUGCUUUCAGAAGUGGCAGAGAGAUAUUUCGAAGUUUGUCUGGCAGGGCAAAAAGCCCAGAAUCAAGUUUAAGAUAUUAACUGAUGUAAAACAAAGAGGGGCUUUGCCCUGCCGGACUUAAAGUUGUAUUAUGAAGCCGCAGCGUUCUGCUGGCUAAAAGACUGGCUACUUCUUGAAGACACUGAUGUGUUGGACUUGGAAGGGUUUAAUAAUGUUUUUGGAUGGCAUGCAUAUUUAUGGUAUGACAAAGUUAAAGCAAAUAAGGCCUUCAAGAACCAUAUUGUCAGAAAAUCAUUGUAUAAUGUCUGGACAAAAUAUAAAGACUUGCUGGAAAAUAAAACACCAAGGUGGCUUUCACCUUUGGAAGCUAAGGCCUGAAAAAGACCCAAUAUGGAGGCUAAAUGGCCAAAAUAUUGGGAAAUACUAGAAAAGAUGGAGACAAUUGGAAAUUGCAGAGUUUGGAGAAAAUGAAAGACAAAGUGCGAGAUUGGUUACAUUACGCUCAGAUUAAAGAAGUUUUUAAAAAUGAUAAGAAACUAGGGUUCCAGGUGGAGAAAUCGAAAUUAGAAACAGAAUUGUUAGAACCAAAGACUAAGGUACUUUCAAGGAUGUAUAACUUGCUGUUGGAAUGGAAUACACAAGAUGAAAUGGUUAAAUCGGCUAUGAUAAGGUGGGCACAGGACAUUGGGUAUAAUAUUAUGUUUGAGGACUGGGAAAAGUUGUGGAGUAAUGGAUUGAAAUUUACUGCAUGUAACGCUCUGAAAGAAAAUGUAAUGAAAAUGAUUUAUAGAUGGUAUAUGACCCCAGUUAAACUUGCAAAAAUUUACCACCUGUCUGAUAAUAAGUGUUGGAAAUGUAAAGAGUGUGAGGGAACGUUCUUCCACCUCUGGUGGACCUGCCCUAAAGUGAAGGCGUUCUGGGAAAUGAUUUAUAAUGAAUUGAAAAAGGUAUUUAAAUAUACCUUUACCAAGAAACCAGAGGCUUUCCUUCUGGGUAUUGUCAGCCAAGGGGUGGCAAAGAAGGACCAGACAUUUUUUAUGUAUGCAACAACAGCAGCAAGGAUACUUCUUGCAAAACAUUGGAAAACUCAAGAUUUACCCACACUGGAAGAAUGGCAGAUGCAACUGAUAGACUACAUGGAACUGGCUGAAAUGACCGGCAGAAUCCGUGACCUGGGAGAAGAGAGAAUCGAGGAGGAUUGGAAGAAAUUUAAGAACUAUCUACAAAAAUAUUGUGAUUUGAGUGAAUGCUAAAUAAGAUGCUAGACUAAAUAACUGAGCACCACUUAACUUAGAAGUUUUUAAGAAAAUAAGUAAGACUGUGAAAGUUUAACUCUUUAUGAGAACUAUAAGAUUAUGAAACAUUGAAGAGAUAUAAGAAUUUAAAUAAGAUGAUAAAUUGCUGACAAAAUGUUAUAACGAUGAAAGUGGGAGCGGGGGAUGUGAGGAAGUCCAAAGAAAAUGUGAAACUAUGUUAAGACAAAUGUUAUAUUGUUUAUUAUGUUUAUUUUUAUUGUAAAACCCAAUAAAUUGCUUUAAAAAAAAAA
Non-coding RNA from Podarcis lilfordi (Lilford's wall lizard), 1870 nucleotides. Lineage: Eukaryota; Metazoa; Chordata; Lepidosauria; Squamata; Lacertidae. The record is from the annotation of a GenBank genome assembly.